CCUACGGGAGGCUGCAGUGAGGAAUAUUGGUCAAUGGACGAGAGUCUGAACCAGCCAAGUAGCGUGAAGGAUGACUGCCCUAUGGGUUGUAAACUUCUUUUAUAUGGGAAUAAAAUGUUCCACGUGUGGGAUUUUGUAUGUACCAUAUGACUAAGGAUCGGCUAACUCCGUGCCAGCAGCCGCGGUAAUACGGAGGAUCCGAUCGUUAUCCGGAUUUAUUGGGUUUAAAGGGAGCGUAGGUGGAUUGUUAAGUCAGUUGUGAAAGUUUGCGGCUCAACCGUAAAAUUGCAGUUGAAACUGGCAGUCUUGAGUACAGUAGAGGUGGGCGGAAUUCGUGGUGUAGCGGUGAAAUGCUUAGAUAUCACGAAGAACUCCGAUUGCGAAGGCAGUUCACUGGACUGCAACUGACACUGAGGCUCGAAAGUGUGGGUAUCAAACAGGAUUAGAUACCCCUGUAGUC
This 460-nucleotide ribosomal RNA is filed under the name uncultured bacterium. RNAcentral describes it as "partial 16S ribosomal RNA". It matches the Rfam family "Bacterial small subunit ribosomal RNA", at positions 338 to 795 of the family's 1533-position model. The record is from RNAcentral.